RNAcentral lists this ribosomal RNA (253 nucleotides) under uncultured bacterium. RNAcentral's name for it is "partial 16S ribosomal RNA". It matches the Rfam family "Bacterial small subunit ribosomal RNA", at positions 524 to 776 of the family's 1533-position model. The record is from RNAcentral.
UACAGAGGUGGCAAGCGUUGUUCGGAAUUACUGGGCGUAAAGGGCGCGUAGGCGGUUCGUUAAGUCCUGUGUGAAAUCCCCCGGCUCAACUGGGGAACUGCACAGGAAACUAGCGGGCUUGAGUUCGGGAGAGGGAAGCGGAAUUCCGGGUGUAGCGGUGAAAUGCGUAGAUAUCCGGAGGAACACCGGUGGCGAAGGCGGCUUCCUGGACCGACAUUGACGCUGAGGAGCGAAAGCCAGGGGAGCAAACGGG